UGCCCCUACCCUUCAACAAAAUAAGGUGCAUGAAAGAGCACUGGAAGCCGUAGAGUGCUCUCUUCCCUCUCCUCUCCCUCCUCCCUCCCUUCUAUCUUCCUUCCUCCCCCCCUCCCUCCUUCCACAAGUAAAUAAAUAAAGACUCCAGUUAGGUGCUCUGCCUGGCCCUGCAGCUCCAGAGGUGAAUAAGUCCUGAAGCGUCCUCCUGGAAUUCACAGUCUAGUUGGAGAGGCAGACGAGUAACGAGAACCACAAGAGGGCGACAGUGCUCCAUCUUCUGUGAAGAAACUGCCAGACCCUCCAGAGAAGGAGCCCAGAAAGCCCUCUUCUCUUGACCUCUGGACUUGUAGGUUCAUUGCCUGGAAGGCUUUUAAAGGGUCACUAAGCUGGUAUGAUAUGAGGAGUCACUGGAGAACAUCUUGGUUACCACAGAGGGAGAGCCUGCCUGAGAGUGAUGUGAUGUCAACCCAGAGGAAAGCAGAACUGAGACAGAAGCAGACACCUGAUGACAUCAUGUGAACCCCUGGAUCCAGCCCUUCCUGAAGCAAGAGUGGACCACUUUAGUUGUUAGGCUGCCCUGGUGAUGCCCACAGCUGCUGGUGAAUGCCAGGCCCCAGGGUUACAACAGGAAAUGUGGAGAGUUGUCAGCCUGAUGGAGUGGCCCUUCCAACUCCAGAAACAGUAAAAGAUCUUGUUUUGGGGCACUUACUUCACUGUCACUCACAUGAUCCAGGCCAGGCCAAGAACUUCCACCCCUUGGUCUCAAUGAAGGUUCAGAAUGUAUAGAGCACUUGCCAUGUGCCGAAUGCUGUGCUGGAACUGAGUGAAGAGAGGUAAACAAGCAGGCACAGCUCCUGUGUCCAUGGAGCUCCCAUUCCAGUGGGAGAGACAGACUUUAAUGAAGCAUCUGACAUAAAACCAUGUCUCUCAGGUCAAAUAUGUCUGGGCUGGAAGUAGAGCAGAAUUUGUGUCUCAAUAGAAACCAUCUUUGUGUGAAGAUGCAGGAAGCUUAGAAGAAUUAGAGACAGAAAGGGCCAUCUAUCACUUCAUUGUCUCCAAAGGUGAUUCAGGCAUGUACUAGUGGCAGAAGGGGCAGGGCAUGCUGACAGAAUGGAUGUAGAGUGAGGACAAGAGGAAUUGGGCAUGACUCCUGAGGUUUUAGGCCAAUCAAGUGGCUGGUGCCUUUCACUGACAGUGGGGAUGGCUGCCUACAUGUGUUCAGUGUGGAAUGCCAGAGGGAAGUCUGGACUUCAGGGGAGGCAUCAGGGCUAGGAGUAUGGACUUGGGAGCCAACAACCUAAAGAUGGGAUUCAAAGCCCAGUGACGGGCUCAGAUAGUCAUCUGGGGAGAGAGUGGAUGGGGAAAUGGUCUUGCUUUAUGAUGGUUUGUUAAGCUCCACAGAUGUUUUGUAUACUUUUCUACAUGCCUGUUGUAUUACAUGAUAGAGGAGAAAGCUGACAAUAGAACCCUGGGGCUCUCAGCGUAUGGAGACAGGCAGGGAACGAGCCAGAAAAGAAGCCAAGGAGGAGCAGGCAGGGAGGCAGGAGGAAAACCAGAACCUUGUGAAGCCAGGAGGCAUGAGCAGGGCAAAGAGGCAGGGAGAGGUCACCUGUGUCAAAAGUGAGAGACCAGGUAAGAGGACAAGGCUGAGCUUGAUCUGCACGAGGCUGAGCUUGAUCUGGCAGCAUGGGGCUGAAGGGAGAGCUUGCAGGCUGAAGUCUGGUGAAACAGGACAGCUUGGUAGCAGCCGGGUUUCAGUGCAUAAGGCAGGAAAAAAUCAUUGUGAGGAGGUACAUAAGCACUGUACCCCACAUGUCACUCUGCUGUAGCUGAGAACAGCUUUCUUCAAAGUAACUGGUGGUGAACUUAACCCAGGAGAAGAUGAAAUUGUAGGAAUAAAAUGUUGACCGAGAUGCUCGUCAUCAAGAUCAAGUCCCGCCAGACUGGGUCAUUGCUGAUUGCAUUGGUAACUGGGAGAGGCCAAAUUCUGAACCUCAGUAUCCAUUUUUUUCCUGUACAUAUUACAAAGUCUAAGGAACAUGAGUUGUUUUUGGUUCAACUUCAAGAGAAAGCCUUGUUUAUAGUCCCUAAAAAUUAACAAGCUGGUAGUUAGUUACGCCAUUGUUUCAUUUCUUGUCUCCAACUUCAGGUUCAAUUUUAUAUACAACUGAAUUCUGUGCAAUGGAGAAGUGAGCACACAGCCAUACACAGUGUAGAAUAAACAUGGUAGAAAAGUCUUUCUGGGAUUUAUCUCUUUCCCACUCCCUAAAGUGCUACCCACUUUCUGCUUGAAGAAUAGUAGAGUUAACCUGGAGAACCAUAUUAUAUAUGGUCAUAUAUAAGUAUAUGGCAUAAAUACAUAAUACGUAGUUUACUACUGUUCCUACUCAUUUUUGUACAUUAAAGAAAGUGGACUUCUAUUUGUAUUUUAAAUUUCACGUUAAACUUUUAAAAGUAUAUAUAUUACUGGGAUGAGCUAAAGAGGAUUGGGAUGAGCUGAAGAGGGAGGUUGAGAGGAUGGGAAAGAGAUUUUUGAGAAAAUUUUGCUCUGAAGAAGAGCAGAGAAAUGAGAGAGUAGCUGGUGGAGAAGAUUGUCAAGGGCAUGUUUAAAAGAUUUAUUUGAGAAAGAGUAAAAGGCAGAGGGAUAGAGGGAAAGAGAAUCUUAAGCAGACUACACUGAAUGCAGAGCCCAGCAUGGGGCUCAAUUGCAUGACCCUGAGAUCCUGACAUGAGCUGAAAUCAAGGGUUGGAAGCUUAACCAACUGAGCCAAGGGCUCAGGUGCCUGAAGGGCAAUUUUUUUCUUUAAUGGAAACUACCAGACCUCUUUUGUGUGCUCAUGGGAAUGAUUCUGUGAAGGAGAAAGUGAAGCUGGGGAAAGGAACAAAUGAUUGGAGCAAUGUCCCCAAACAGGCAGGAAGGUACAGGAGAGAGCUCCUUCAGCCCUGGCCACAGGAAGGCAAGCAGCAAGGUAGGGGUGUUGGAGUUUAAGAAGGAAAGGUGUGGAUGCCAGGUCUGUGGACCACUGAGCCCAUGCUUUUCCAACUAAAGAAGCCUGGACCCAGAGAGACAGGCCUCCAUUGGACUCUGGCUGGUCCCAGAUGUGACCUCAGUUUCCUUCUGCAAUGUGAGGUGCUCCUCAGCCCUAUCUCAUAGGCCAGGGGGAAGGUUAUGGCAGAUCUGUGGACUAACAAUGUACUUGGCACUGUGUUUGACACAGAGUAGGCUUUCAGGAGCCUGGAAAAGGACAAUCCUUUGGGCCACCCUGCUAGGCACAUGUCUUACUACUAGGACAGGGAGUUGGGUGCUGGCCUGUAUUGUUUGGAAAGAGUACAUUAACUGCAAAAGCCAAUUGCCUUGUGCUGCUUCCCACUGAGAUUCUAGAUAAAGCCACCUGCAGCCAUUCCUCCCUGUGUGAUGUGGGGUGCGCACAGAUCCCAUGCUGAGGCACCCCUCAGGGUCCUGGGCCCAACCUCCCCUAUCAUGACCACUUAUCAGCUCAGUGAUCUUGGGCAAGUCCCUGUCUCUUUAGGCCUCAAUUUCCUCACUUGAAGCGUGGAGUGGUGCAGUUGACCUCCGAGCCCUGCAUUUGGACCCAUAAGUUCAAGUCUUUGUCAAGACGCUAUUCAUAAUGCUAAUAAAUAACAAACACCAACUCUAGCACCACCAACUGCUAGGUAACCUUGGCCAAAUCAUUCAUCCAUGCCCAGUAUGCAAGUGGGGAUGGUGCUAUUUCCUGCCUCAUAGUAUUCUGGUGAGGACUGGGAAACAUCACCCAGGUAAAGCUCCUGGCAUUUAGUGCCUGGCACACAGUAGGUAACUAAAUUAAUCAAGAGGCUCAAGGCUUUCAAGAAGGGUAAAUGACUCCCCUACAAGGCCUAUACAGAGCUGCUGUUUUUGUUGCAUGGCAUCCCACCCCUCUUCUUGUCCCAGCACCCAGCUUUUCUUCUGAGAGAACUGCUCCACUCCCACCUCCCAAUUCCACUGAUUACUUGAGGAGGAGGCCUUAACUUGGCCACUCUGUCCCAUCCUCCUGGCUACAGAGAGCAAUGAGGUUAAACCUUGAACUUUAGCUAGACCUUGUAGGAAAGCAACUGGCCUGCUGGAUUUGUUAAUCUGGUGGGAUGUGGGACUUGGAAAUGGAGCUGCUGGUGGCCUCCCCCUGCCCCCAGAAGGGAGUACAGCUGAGGAUGGUGCUAAUAAAGAUGUCAGGGCAAGAAAUAAAGGCAGGCUAAUAUUUUAGGUGCUGUUCAAUGAGCCCCUGCAUCAAGCCAGGCUUACAGGCAAGUGUUCCCCUGAAUUUUCAGUCACAUGAGACAUUGAUUUUUUUUUUUCCUUGCUUACGAUUGAACCGGUUUUUGCCACUUAAACCAAAGAUUUCUGACAACAUAGCCUGUAACGCCAUGGCCUUGGACUGGGUGUUGCUUAUUUGGUCUGACCAGCCUUCCACCACUGGGCAGAUGAAGGACCAAGGGGCUAUGACAGUGACCACUACGGAGUUCUCUAUAAGAGGGACAGAACUGCCUGAGGACAUGGGGCCUGAACUCCAGAGCUCUAGCAAAGAGCUUAGAGGAGCCAGGGAGAGGAGGGGGAAAUCUGGCCAAACCUUCCUUUCCUGGGUCCAGGAACUACUAAAUUGAACAGAAAGUCAUUUGCCUGGGUUUAGCCCCUUCUCUUUGGCCAAGAGGAGCAUCUAGAGAAAAAUUAUAGGUUCUCAAAAUGGACCUCUCCAGGAUUCAGCAAGCCCAUCCUGGUCUUUGCCCCAAAGAAUCAAUGGUAAACUUCAGCAGCCACAGUAAAGCCCUGUGGGAGAAGGUACAGUGCAGUGUAGUUUGCUUGGGAAGGAUGGGGGGAACUGGUGGUGCCCUAGUCUGUCCAUCCAGGAGCUGCUAGGGAACAAGGAACCAGAGAGAUACACAACAGCACAGAAAAAUCUAAAAGUGGGGCAAGUGAAAAAAAACCCCAAAACAGUGAGUCUUAGCACAGUCCCAUCUAUCUAUGCAUGUAAAACCUACAUAUUUUUCAACACCAGAGUGGUGCCUAUCUGGGCAGGGGAAGGUGUGAUUGGGUAGAGUAGGGGCUGGGGAUGAAGUAGAAAAGUCAAAAAAGAGAAGGGGCUUUCAUGGUCUAGGGAUGACACCAUGCUUUGAACUGACAUGUCUGAAGAACUCAGCACCAACAGGGAGGAGUCAGGCACCAGUGCAAAGGGGACUAUUGUGAUCACAACCCUGGCUAUACCCCUGGAUCACCUAAGGAGCCUUAGGGAUCUAGAUUCCUGGGGGCCACUCCCUGAAGCUCUGACUGGAUUGGUCUGGGUGCAGCCAUAACUGAGAUCCACUGAACUAACAAUAGACAGAUGUACCUGGGUUCAAAUCCUGGCUCUGCCACUCAUAAGCAUAGUGGUUUUAAAAUUCUUUAUCUAAAAGGGGUUAAAUCCCCAUCUUGAGAAAAUGAGAAGGUCACGAGAGAAGCACACCAGAUACCAAGAUCUGUAGCUUGACCUCCUUGCAGGAGGAGGCUUGGCUAGGAACAUAAUUCCAUCAAGUGAAAGAAAUAGGUGAAGUGUAUGAACCUUUUUAUUUCUGAGACUUAAAUUUAGCUCAAGUUCCAGGGCAAAUAGAGGGUCCCCCUGUCCCACAAGACAGGAAGGAUGCUUCCCAGAUGAGGGGUGCCAGAUAAAAUCUGGGAUGCCCAAUGACAUUCGAAUUUCAGGAAAACAAAUGCUUUUAUACAUCUGUCCCAAAUAUUGCACGGGACAUACUUAUACUAAAAAGUUAUUUUUCUUAAAUUCACAUGUAAUGAGGUAUCCUGUAUUUUUAUUUGCUCAAUUUGACCACCUUAGAUGACACUUGAGCUUGUUGGGUUUCAGUCUUUAUUUAGUAGGGUCUGAGAGAGGUGAGGGAGGGGUGAAGGAAGUUUUCUAUUCUGGAGCUUCACAGCUGACAAUCUAAAGGAACUACAUCACCUCCUUGUUCCUUGGAGGAAAAGGAGAUCAGAGGGCUCUGGAUUACACAAACACUGGUUGCCUUGUAUUUAUCCACUUGGCACCUUAGACACCACCAUUGGAAAGCCCAAUUCUAAGAAUUGGAAGAGGGAGAUCCAUUUAUGAUGGGGUUUCUGUGGUUCUCAUGUUGCCUCACUUCAUGCUAGCAACUAGGGUACCUGUUGCCUGAACUCAAGCCAUAAAAAAUCAUGGAAGCUUAUUUUCAUUAUAACUUUUUUUUUUCUGAUCAUGAGUUGUUGGCAACUUUGGUGGUGGUGGUGGUGGUAGGAAUUACCCAUAAUCCCUUUACCCAGAUGUCACCAAUGGCAAUUUAUUCUUCCCCUGGGAAGGAAACAUUAUGCUUUGAUCACAUGCCAGAAACUUCCUCCAUUAUCUCCGAGAACCUUCAGAAAGAAAAAUAACUUUAUUGCCCUUUCUGAAUAUAAGAGCACUAUAAGCUCUUCAGACAGAUUUUCUUAAAAGUAACUCCUAGAGGUAUGAAAUGAAAUUCACCUAGAAUCCUAUCACUCAAAUGGAAUUCUUUGAAUCUCACUUAUAAACUUGGUUCUGUAGCAGAGGUGCUUUCUGUCAACCAGCACAUCUCAGGCACUACCUAAAGAUGAGGAAACUGAGGAUCACAUCUACCACAUUACACCAGUGUUCCAGGGGGGCUCAGUAAAAGUUUGCUAAGUGAACAAAUGAAUGAGGGAAGAAUCCACGACUCCUCACAGGCUUAUUCAGAUUCAUUAAGUCAUCAAAGGCUGCUUCCACUUUGUAUUUUCAAAAAACCCUAACCCACUUGUGCAGAUUAUGGGAUGGAUAUGAUUUCUUGGACAUGAGGGAGCAGGUGAAAGAGUAGUGAUUGUUUCCCUGCUCUGUAGGAAUAAAGAACUCCAAAGAAGAGUGACAGGAGAUCUAGGAGGCUUUAGAAACCUGCAUGCAAAACCUACGGAAAAGAGUGUGGGGGAACAUGGUUAAAAUGGCCAAGUAAGGCCCACCAUGCAAGAUUCCAUCUUAAUUAGACCCGUCAUUGAUAAACUUUGAGAAGGUUCCAGCUACCGCCAGUGCCCAAGACUAUCACAACACAGUCACCAUAUUGUGAUUUUCCCUCCCAUUUACCCAUAGAAAAUGAAGGCAUUUUUUAUAAGCAAGGUUGGCUUUUCUAGAACAUGCACCUUUCAGGAUUCACUUCUAAGGGAAUUUUGUCCCAAAGGACCUGGAGAAUCUUGGGAUGGUCUCAAAGUUGCUGGCUGCUGGCCUCAAACCCAGGGGGCUUAGUAUUGAGGUGGGGGCUUCAUCAUUCCCACUUGUCCUCCUCCAUUCCAAGGGCAGUUCCUGGGAGGCUCUGGCAGCCUGGGAGAUGGCAGGGUGGAUAAUUACUGUACGAGUCUCUGCCGCUCAUUCACAACAGCAGCUGAGUACAAUUUUCAUGGCAAGUGCUUAUAAAUCGCAGGCAACCUCUGGCACACAAUGGUCUGUGGUCGUGGCAGGAGAAUAGCCACCCAGGGAAGGAGAGGCCGCUGCAGGGACCACUCCUCCCACACUAGCCGUGGGGUUCAUUGUGCCAUGGGCACACAUUGCUGGGCUUCCAUGAAUACUGAGACUAAUGGGAGUGAGGACAGAAAAAGGAAGAGAUCUUCAAUAAAUGGUGCUGGGAAAAUUGGACAUCCACAUGCAGAAGAAUGAAACUAGACCACUCUCUUUCACCAUACACAAAGAUAAACUCAAAAUGGAUGAAAGAUC
Long non-coding RNA from Canis lupus familiaris (dog), 7724 nucleotides. RefSeq lists it as uncharacterized. The record is from RefSeq and is a predicted model, not a curated record. Lineage: Eukaryota; Metazoa; Chordata; Mammalia; Carnivora; Canidae. The transcript has 8 exons.